UUGGUUACAUGAACAAGUUCUUUAGUGGU
RNAcentral lists this non-coding RNA (29 nucleotides) under Homo sapiens (human). Lineage: Eukaryota; Metazoa; Chordata; Mammalia; Primates; Hominidae. The record is from RNAcentral.